AUUCACAAGAGCUUAAAACAAACGUUAUUCAGAAAGUUAUUUCGUCAGAAAAGUUACCACAGGGAUAACUGGCUCGUUGCAGCCAAGCGUCCACAGCGACGUUGCUUUUUGAUCCUUCGAUGUCGGCUCUUCAUUUCAUUGCGAAGCAAACUUUAUUAAGUUCAAUAAGCAUAUUAAAAUCCACAAGUCUUCCUUAACCAAAUGCUUUCAUAUUAUACAAUGAUAACAUUCACUUUCUAAAGCACACGAAGCCUUCAUUUUUCACAUUUUAACUUUUGUAUCGAGUACCAUAUUCGGAAAAGAAUGUGACUGAACAAGCGAAGUUCGCCAACAGGAACCGGUGAUAUUCUCCAAUGCAUCAUUGGCUUUUGGUGGUGCCGUACUUAGGUGGGGAACAUUAAAAG
Angiostrongylus cantonensis (rat lungworm) is the source of this 404-nucleotide non-coding RNA. The record is from Rfam. Lineage: Eukaryota; Metazoa; Nematoda; Chromadorea; Rhabditida; Metastrongylidae.